GAUGAACGCUAGCGGCAGGCUUAAUACAUAGCAAGUCGAAGGGUAACAUGGUAGCAAUACUGAUGACGACUGGCGCACGGGUGCGUAACACGUAUGCAACCUACCUUUAACUGGAGCAUAGACCCUCGAAAGAGGGAUUAAUACUCCAUAACAUAGUGAAAUGGCAUCAUUUUAUUAGUUAAACCUCCGGGGGUUAAAGAUGGGCAUGCGGUGCAUUAGCUAGUUGGUGAGGUAAUGGCUCACCAAGGCUACGAUGCAUAGGGGUUCUGAGAGGACAUACCCCCACACUGGUACUGAGACACGGACCAGACUCCUACGGGAGGCAGCAGUAAGGAAUAUUGGACAAUGGUGGCAACACUGAUCCAGCCAUGCCGCGUGCAGGAUGACGGCCCUAUGGGUUGUAAACUGCUUUUGUACGGGAAAAAACCCUCGUUCGUGAACGAGGCUGAUGGUACCGUAAGAAUAAGGAUCGGCUAACUCCGUG
This 484-nucleotide ribosomal RNA is filed under the name uncultured bacterium. RNAcentral's name for it is "bacterial SSU rRNA". It matches the Rfam family "Bacterial small subunit ribosomal RNA", at positions 28 to 507 of the family's 1533-position model. The record is from RNAcentral.